GUAUGAACGCUGGCGGCGUGCCUAAUACAUGCAAGUCGAACGAGUUCUUGUUGAUGAUCGGUGCUUGCACCAAGAUUCAACAUGGAACGAGUGGCGGACGGGUGAGUAACACGUGGGUAACCUGCCCUUAAGUGGGGGAUAACAUUUGGAAACAGAUGCUAAUACCGCAUAGAUCCAAGAACCGCAUGGUUCUUGGCUGAAAGAUGGCGUAAGCUAUCGCUUUUGGAUGGACCCGCGGCGUAUUAGCUAGUUGGUGAGGUAAUGGCUCACCAAGGCGAUGAUACGUAGCCGAACUGAGAGGUUGAUCGGCCACAUUGGGACUGAGACACGGCCCAAACUCCUACGGGAGGCAGCAGUAGGGAAUCUUCCACAAUGGACGCAAGUCUGAUGGAGCAACGCCGCGUGAGUGAAGAAGGCUUUCGGGUCGUAAAACUCUGUUGUUGGAGAAGAAUGGUCGGCAGAGUAACUGUUGUCGGCGUGACGGUAUCCAACCAGAAAGCCACGGCUAACUACGUGCCAGCAGCCGCGGUAAUACGUAGGUGGCAAGCGUUAUCCGGAUUUAUUGGGCGUAAAGCGAGCGCAGGCGGUUUUUUAAGUCUGAUGUGAAAGCCCUCGGCUUAACCGAGGAAGCGCAUCGGAAACUGGGAAACUUGAGUGCAGAAGAGGACAGUGGAACUCCAUGUGUAGCGGUGAAAUGCGUAGAUAUAUGGAAGAACACCAGUGGCGAAGGCGGCUGUCUGGUCUGUAACUGACGCUGAGGCUCGAAAGCAUGGGUAGCGAACAGGAUUAGAUACCCUGGUAGUCCAUGCCGUAAACGAUGAAUGCUAGGUGUUGGAGGGUUUCCGCCCUUCAGUGCCGCAGCUAACGCAUUAAGCAUUCCGCCUGGGGAGUACGACCGCAAGGUUGAAACUCAAAGGAAUUGACGGGGGCCCGCACAAGCGGUGGAGCAUGUGGUUUAAUUCGAAGCAACGCGAAGAACCUUACCAGGUCUUGACAUCUUUUGAUCACCUGAGAGAUCAGGUUUCCCCUUCGGGGGCAAAAUGACAGGUGGUGCAUGGUUGUCGUCAGCUCGUGUCGUGAGAUGUUGGGUUAAGUCCCGCAACGAGCGCAACCCUUAUGACUAGUUGCCAGCAUUUAGUUGGGCACUCUAGUAAGACUGCCGGUGACAAACCGGAGGAAGGUGGGGAUGACGUCAAAUCAUCAUGCCCCUUAUGACCUGGGCUACACACGUGCUACAAUGGAUGGUACAACGAGUUGCGAGACCGCGAGGUCAAGCUAAUCUCUUAAAGCCAUUCUCAGUUCGGACUGUAGGCUGCAACUCGCCUACACGAAGUCGGAAUCGCUAGUAAUCGCGGAUCAGCACGCCGCGGUGAAUACGUUCCCGGGCCUUGUACACACCGCCCGUCACACCAUGAGAGUUUGUAACACCCGAAGCCGGUGGCGUAACCCUUUUAGGGAGCGAGCCGUCUAAGGUGGGACAA
Molecule: ribosomal RNA, 1481 nt
Filed under: uncultured organism
Description: SSU rRNA
Rfam family: Bacterial small subunit ribosomal RNA
Source: RNAcentral